CCUUCGAUAGCUCAGUUGGAAGAGCGCGAGACUGUAAUUGGAUGGCUAUCUUGAGGUCGCUGGUUCGAUCCCGGCUCGAAGGA
Molecule: transfer RNA, 83 nt
Filed under: Postia placenta Mad-698-R
Lineage: Eukaryota; Fungi; Basidiomycota; Agaricomycetes; Polyporales; Adustoporiaceae
Rfam family: tRNA
About the family: Transfer RNA (tRNA) molecules are approximately 80 nucleotides in length.
Source: Rfam by way of RNAcentral